RNAcentral lists this ribosomal RNA (253 nucleotides) under uncultured bacterium. Its description in RNAcentral is "partial 16S ribosomal RNA". It matches the Rfam family "Bacterial small subunit ribosomal RNA", at positions 524 to 776 of the family's 1533-position model. The record is from RNAcentral.
UACGUAGGCAGCAAGCGUUGGUCGGAAUUACUGGGCGUAAAGAGUGUGUAGGCGGUGCUCUAAGUUCGGUGUGAAAUCUCCCGGCUCAACUGGGAGGGUGCGCCGGAAACUGGAAUGCUUGAGCGUGGGAGAGGAAAGCGGAAUUCCUGGUGUAGCGGUGAAAUGCGUAGAUAUCAGGAGGAACACCUGCGGUGUAGACGGCUUUCUGGACCAUUGCUGACGCUGAGACACGAAAGCGUGGGUAGCAAACAGG